RNAcentral lists this ribosomal RNA (374 nucleotides) under uncultured eukaryote. RNAcentral describes it as "partial 18S ribosomal RNA". It matches the Rfam family "Eukaryotic small subunit ribosomal RNA", at positions 592 to 976 of the family's 1831-position model. The record is from RNAcentral.
CAAGAGCGUAUGUAAAAGUUGUUGCAGUUAAAAAGCUCGUAGUUGAACCUUGGGUUUGGUUGGCCGGUCCGCUUUUUUGCGAGUACUGGAUUCAACCGAGCCUUUCCUUCUGGCUAACCAGUCGUUUCGGCGGCUGGCGAACCAGGAUUUUUACUUUGAGAAAAUUAGAGUGUUCAAAGCAGGCAUUAGCUUGAAUAUAUUAGCAUGGAAUAAUAGAAUAGGACGUUGUGGUUCUAUUUUGUUGGUUUCUAGGACCAUCGUAAUGAUUAAUAGGGACGGUCGGGGGCAUCAGUAUUCAGUUGUCAGAGGUGAAAUUCUUGGAUUUACUGAAGACUAACUACUGCGAAAGCAUUUGCCAAGGACGUUUUCAUUAA